UACGGGGGGGGUAAGCGUUGUUCGGAAUUACUGGGCGUAAAGGGCUCGUAGGCGGCCAACUAAGUCAGACGUGAAAUCCCUCAGCUUAACUGGGGAACUGCGUCUGAUACUGGAUGGCUUGGAUUCGGGAGAGGAAUGCGGAAUUCCAGGUGUAGCGGUGAAAUGCGUAGAUAUCUGGAGGAACACCGGUGGCGAAGGCGGCAUCCUGGACCGGCAUUGACGCUGAACAGCGAAAGCCAGGGGAGCAAACGGG
Molecule: ribosomal RNA, 253 nt
Filed under: uncultured bacterium
Lineage: Bacteria
Description: partial 16S ribosomal RNA
Rfam family: Bacterial small subunit ribosomal RNA
Source: RNAcentral